Molecule: ribosomal RNA, 468 nt
Filed under: uncultured bacterium
Lineage: Bacteria
Description: partial 16S ribosomal RNA
Rfam family: Bacterial small subunit ribosomal RNA
Source: RNAcentral
GACGAACGCUGGCGGCGUGCUUAACACAUGCAAGUCGAACGGAAAGGCCCUGCUUUUGUGGGGUGCUCGAGUGGCGAACGGGUGAGUAACACGUGAGUAACCUGCCCUUGACUUUGGGAUAACUUCAGGAAACUGGGGCUAAUACAGGAUAGGAGCUCCUGCUGCAUGGUGGGGGUUGGAAAGUUUGGGCGGUUGGGGAUGGACUCGCGGCCUAUCAGCUUGUUGGUGGGGUAGUGGCUUACCAAGGCGACGACGGGUAGCCGGCCUGAGAGGGUGACCGGCCACAGUGGGACUGAGACACGGCCCAGACUCCUGCGGGAGGCAGCAGUGGGGAAUAUUGCACAAUGGGCGGAAGCCUGAUGCAGCGACGCCGCGUGAGGGAUGACGGCCUUCGGGUUGUAAACCUCUUUCAGCACGGAAGAAGCGAGAGUGACGGUACGUGCAGAAGAAGCGCCGGCUAACUACGUG